Molecule: ribosomal RNA, 468 nt
Filed under: uncultured bacterium
Lineage: Bacteria
Description: partial 16S ribosomal RNA
Rfam family: Bacterial small subunit ribosomal RNA
Source: RNAcentral
GACGAACGCUGGCGGCGUGCUUAACACAUGCAAGUCGAACGGAAAGGCCCUGCUUUUGUGGGGUGCUCGAGUGGCGAACGGGUGAGUAACACGUGAGUAACCUGCCCUUGACUUUGGGAUAACUUCAGGAAACUGGGGCUAAUACCGGAUAGGAGCUCCUGCCGCAUGGUGGGGGUUGGAAAGUUUCGGCGGUUGGGGAUGGACUCGCGGCUUGUCAGCUUGUUGGUGGGGUAGUGGCUUACCAAGGCUUUGACGGGUAGCCGGCCUGAGAGGGUGACCGGCCACAUUGGGACUGAGAUACGGCCCAGACUCCUACGGGAGGCAGCAGUGGGGAAUAUUGCACAAUGGGCGGAAGCCUGAUGCAGCAACGCCGCGUGCGGGAUGACGGCCUUCGGGUUGUAAACCGCUUUCGCCUGUGACGAAGCGUGAGUGACGGUAAUGGGUAAAGAAGCACCGGCUAACUACGUG